GUGAAAAUGUUUUGUCAUUUCUGGCUUGCUUGCAAUUUUUGUUUGGUUUUGAAUAUUUGUUGUCAGCUGCAGCUUUAAGAUCACACAAAUACUUCAGGCAAUGAUAAACUUCAUUUCGAUGCUGGGAGAAUCAAAUAUGGUUUUGAAACUCAUUUUAGUUUUCACACAGUGAAUCUCCUGUUUCUGCUGAAUUAAAAUACAGUAGGAUCAAAUUUUAAGAAAUGUGAAAUCUCCAAUCUGAGGGAAAGAUUCAUGAUGAUGAUCUGGGAGCUGCUAAAUCACCCACCUGCUUCCCCAGCUGACCAACAAAGAGGAAGAAUAUCAUACAGAUUCACAAGGCUGAACAGAAAACACGGAAAGAAGGAAAUCCUUUCAUGUUGAUCAUCAAGACAGUUGUGCAUGGAAAAGAUUUACUCCAGUGGCUUUAUUAAGACCUGAUUCAUUAUGGCCCCUCACUACAAG
Molecule: long non-coding RNA, 462 nt
Filed under: Anas platyrhynchos platyrhynchos (common mallard)
Lineage: Eukaryota; Metazoa; Chordata; Aves; Anseriformes; Anatidae
Description: lncRNA (ENSAPLG00000029184.1)
Source: RNAcentral